Molecule: ribosomal RNA, 647 nt
Filed under: uncultured marine bacterium
Lineage: Bacteria
Description: bacterial SSU rRNA
Rfam family: Bacterial small subunit ribosomal RNA
Source: RNAcentral
GUUGGCGAUAUACUGUCAGCGGCCAAGCGAAAGUAUUAAGUGAUGCACCUGGGGAGUACGCCGGCAACGGUGAAACUCAAAGGAAUUGACGGGGGCCCGCACAAGCGGUGGAGCAUGUGGUUUAAUUCGAUGAUACGCGAGGAACCUUACCAGGGCUUAAAUGUAGUAUGACCGGCUUAGAAAUAGGCCUUCUCUUCGGAGCAGAUUACAAGGUGCUGCAUGGUUGUCGUCAGCUCGUGCCGUGAGGUGUUAGGUUAAGUCCUGCAACGAGCGCAACCCCUAUUCUUAGUUGCCAGCGGUUCGGCCGGGGACUCUAAGAAGACUGCCAGCGCAAGCUGAGAGGAAGGUGGGGAUGACGUCAAAUCAUCACGGCCCUUACGUCCUGGGCUACGCACGUGCUACAAUGGUAGAGACAGAGGGCAGCCACCUGGUGACAGGGAGCGAAUCCUUAAACUCUAUCUCAGUUCGGAUCGAAGUCUGCAACUCGACUUCGUGAAGCUGGAAUCGCUAGUAAUCGCGCAUCAGCCAUGGCGCGGUGAAUACGUUCCCGGGCCUUGUACACACCGCCCGUCAAGCCAUGGAAGCUGGGGGCACCUGAAGUCGGUAACCGUAAGGAGCCGCCUAGGGUGAAACUGGUAACUAGGGCU